Molecule: long non-coding RNA, 240 nt
Filed under: Solanum tuberosum (potato)
Lineage: Eukaryota; Viridiplantae; Streptophyta; Magnoliopsida; Solanales; Solanaceae
Description: long non-coding RNA (STUB_LNC004855)
Source: RNAcentral
GACAGUAUGUGAACCUUUGACCAACCCUUUUGUAGUGCUCUUUCCACAGCUUCCCGAAUUGCUAGGGCUUCAACAGUUAUGGCCUUCCCUACAAAUUGAAUAGGGGUACCAAAGGCAUGAAGCAAAUGACCACAACUAUCUAUAGCCGCCAUUCCGAUGCUUGCUUUUCCCUUCUCCCUUUGUAGACCUGCAUCUGUGAAAACAACAAUCCCAUCUCGGGCCAAAGUAAUGGUUACAUCA